GAAAGCAGGAUGGGCGCAGCCUGAUCAGCCUGCCGCGUGAGUGAAGAAGGCCUUCGGGUUGUAAAGCUCUUUCAGUUGAGAAGAAAAGAUUGUAACUAAUAAUUGCAAUCCAUGACGGUAUCGACAGAAGAAGCACCGGCUAACUACGUGCCAGCAGCCGCGGUAAUAA
This 169-nucleotide ribosomal RNA is filed under the name uncultured Nitrosomonas sp. RNAcentral describes it as "partial 16S ribosomal RNA". It matches the Rfam family "Bacterial small subunit ribosomal RNA", at positions 359 to 526 of the family's 1533-position model. Lineage: Bacteria; Pseudomonadati; Pseudomonadota; Betaproteobacteria; Nitrosomonadales; Nitrosomonadaceae. The record is from RNAcentral.